Molecule: long non-coding RNA, 1077 nt
Organism: Gallus gallus (chicken)
Lineage: Eukaryota; Metazoa; Chordata; Aves; Galliformes; Phasianidae
Source: Ensembl
CCCGGACAGAGGCUCGCAAAGCGCCAGGAAGCGACAGAGCAUCAUUUCCAGCUCCGCUGGACGGGACCGGGAAGGAUUUUUAAACGGGAUGCUGCUGAGUUAAUGGGGCGGAGAGCCGGGAGAGCAGCGGGAAGGGCUGAGCAGAAGCGGAGUACGGUCGGGGGGGGCACGGAGCGUUCCCGAGCUGAGGGUACCGCGUGUACAGAGCCGGGCCUGCGGCAAUGCAGAGCCGCUGACUUCCUACUGCCAUCAGGAGGGGCUCUUUUUGCGAACAGAUAAAAGACUGCGAAGAGGAAAUGAAAGGAGAACAGUGAGAAAAAUCUGCUCCAAUCUCCAGAGCGCUCCUCCUUACAAGAAACGUGGUGUCGUGAGUCGGUUCUGAAACAGAAACAUCUUUGAGUUCCAUCCCGUUGUCAUUUUCUGCCGAUAGACUGAUGGGACAGCACCCCCCAGCCCGUGCCAUGGCUUUGGUGCAGCAGCACUGCAGCGUGGAAGGGCCAAUGAUGGCUGCACACUGCCUGCCCUCAGCCCCACAUCCACUGUGCGGAGCUCCCAGCAAAGCCAUCCUGCUGCUGUCCCAGCACAGCCCUACAGCUGGGAUCCCCUUCCCACCACAUCCCUGGAGCUGAGCUGUGCCCAAAGCAGCCUGACAUCAACCCAAGGGACUGAAGCUUCUCUAUUAUUGUCAUUAUAUUUUAUUUUCUUAAAAGAGAGCAGGAAGAGGACAGAAUGUGUUUGCACAGUGGCACCACAGAGCCAUUGCCAGCUGUCUGGCUGGGAGCCAGCUCCUGUUACAGACUCACGCUCGUGUCUCUGCUCUACAUUUACCCAUAGAGAAUCAUAGAUACGAAACAGGACGGUCUAACACGAUGCUUUUAGCUCAGCCCCAUUGCCCUGUCUAAGACCUGGAGACAAAACAGUACAGCCUACUGGGACAGGACGUAUCAUUUAGAAACUAAGUGGGUGUUCAGACAGUUGCGGUGCAAACACGUUGUAACUACACUGUGUAAGCUGUGCCUUGGGUCAAGGCAGAGGUUCCUGGGUUCCAAGCUGGCUCAGCAUCCUCUCACUCCUACA